This 2830-nucleotide ribosomal RNA is filed under the name Escherichia coli. RNAcentral describes it as "partial 23S ribosomal RNA". It matches the Rfam family "Bacterial large subunit ribosomal RNA". Lineage: Bacteria; Pseudomonadati; Pseudomonadota; Gammaproteobacteria; Enterobacterales; Enterobacteriaceae. The record is from RNAcentral.
GGUUAAGCGACUAAGCGUACACGGUGGAUGCCCUGGCAGUCAGAGGCGAUGAAGGACGUGCUAAUCUGCGAUAAGCGUCGGUGAGGUGAUAUGAACCGUUAUAACCGGCGAUUUCCGAAUGGGGAAACCCAGUGUGUUUCGACACACUAUCAUUAACUGAAUCCAUAGGUUAAUGAGGCGAACCGGGGGAACUGAAACAUCUAAGUACCCCGAGGAAAAGAAAUCAACCGAGAUUCCCCCAGUAGCGGCGAGCGAACGGGGAGGAGCCCAGAGCCUGAAUCAGUGUGUGUGUUAGUGGAAGCGUCUGGAAAGGCGUGCGAUACAGGGUGACAGCCCCGUACACAAAAAUGCACAUAUUGUGAGCUCGAUGAGUAGGGCGGGACACGUGGUAUCCUGUCUGAAUAUGGGGGGACCAUCCUCCAAGGCUAAAUACUCCUGACUGACCGAUAGUGAACCAGUACCGUGAGGGAAAGGCGAAAAGAACCCCGGCGAGGGGAGUGAAAAAGAACCUGAAACCGUGUACGUACAAGCAGUGGGAGCCUCUUAAUGGGGUGACUGCGUACCUUUUGUAUAAUGGGUCAGCGACUUAUAUUCUGUAGCAAGGUUAACCGAAUAGGGGAGCCGAAGGGAAACCGAGUCUUAACUGGGCGUUAAGUUGCAGGGUAUAGACCCGAAACCCGGUGAUCUAGCCAUGGGCAGGUUGAAGGUUGGGUAACACUAACUGGAGGACCGAACCGACUAAUGUUGAAAAAUUAGCGGAUGACUUGUGGCUGGGGGUGAAAGGCCAAUCAAACCGGGAGAUAGCUGGUUCUCCCCGAAAGCUAUUUAGGUAGCGCCUCGUGAAUUCAUCUCCGGGGGUAGAGCACUGUUUCGGCAAGGGGGUCAUCCCGACUUACCAACCCGAUGCAAACUGCGAAUACCGGAGAAUGUUAUCACGGGAGACACACGGCGGGUGCUAACGUCCGUCGUGAAGAGGGAAACAACCCAGACCGCCAGCUAAGGUCCCAAAGUCAUGGUUAAGUGGGAAACGAUGUGGGAAGGCCCAGACAGCCAGGAUGUUGGCUUAGAAGCAGCCAUCAUUUAAAGAAAGCGUAAUAGCUCACUGGUCGAGUCGGCCUGCGCGGAAGAUGUAACGGGGCUAAACCAUGCACCGAAGCUGCGGCAGCGACACUAUGUGUUGUUGGGUAGGGGAGCGUUCUGUAAGCCUGUGAAGGUGGCCUGUGAGGGUUGCUGGAGGUAUCAGAAGUGCGAAUGCUGACAUAAGUAACGAUAAAGCGGGUGAAAAGCCCGCUCGCCGGAAGACCAAGGGUUCCUGUCCAACGUUAAUCGGGGCAGGGUGAGUCGACCCCUAAGGCGAGGCCGAAAGGCGUAGUCGAUGGGAAACAGGUUAAUAUUCCUGUACUUGGUGUUACUGCGAAGGGGGGACGGAGAAGGCUAUGUUGGCCGGGCGACGGUUGUCCCGGUUUAAGCGUGUAGGCUGGUUUUCCAGGCAAAUCCGGAAAACCAAGGCUGAGGCGUGAUGACGAGGCACUACGGUGCUGAAGCGACAAAUGCCCUGCUUCCAGGAAAAGCCUCUAAGCAUCAGGUAACAUCAAAUCGUACCCCAAACCGACACAGGUGGUCAGGUAGAGAAUACCAAGGCGCUUGAGAGAACUCGGGUGAAGGAACUAGGCAAAAUGGUGCCGUAACUUCGGGAGAAGGCACGCUGAUAUGUAGGUGAAGCGACUUGCUCGUGGAGCUGAAAUCAGUCGAAGAUACCAGCUGGCUGCAACUGUUUAUUAAAAACACAGCACUGUGCAAACACGAAAGUGGACGUAUACGGUGUGACGCCUGCCCGGUGCCGGAAGGUUAAUUGAUGGGGUUAGCGGUAACGCGAAGCUCUUGAUCGAAGCCCCGGUAAACGGCGGCCGUAACUAUAACGGUCCUAAGGUAGCGAAAUUCCUUGUCGGGUAAGUUCCGACCUGCACGAAUGGCGUAAUGAUGGCCAGGCUGUCUCCACCCGAGACUCAGUGAAAUUGAACUCGCUGUGAAGAUGCAGUGUACCCGCGGCAAGACGGAAAGACCCCGUGAACCUUUACUAUAGCUUGACACUGAACAUUGAGCCUUGAUGUGUAGGAUAGGUGGGAGGCUUUGAAGUGUGGACGCCAGUCUGCAUGGAGCCGACCUUGAAAUACCACCCUUUAAUGUUUGAUGUUCUAACGUUGGCCCGUAAUCCGGGUUGCGGACAGUGUCUGGUGGGUAGUUUGACUGGGGCGGUCUCCUCCUAAAGAGUAACGGAGGAGCACGAAGGUUGGCUAAUCCUGGUCGGACAUCAGGAGGUUAGUGCAAUGGCAUAAGCCAGCUUGACUGCGAGCGUGACGGCGCGAGCAGGUGCGAAAGCAGGUCAUAGUGAUCCGGUGGUUCUGAAUGGAAGGGCCAUCGCUCAACGGAUAAAAGGUACUCCGGGGAUAACAGGCUGAUACCGCCCAAGAGUUCAUAUCGACGGCGGUGUUUGGCACCUCGAUGUCGGCUCAUCACAUCCUGGGGCUGAAGUAGGUCCCAAGGGUAUGGCUGUUCGCCAUUUAAAGUGGUACGCGAGCUGGGUUUAGAACGUCGUGAGACAGUUCGGUCCCUAUCUGCCGUGGGCGCUGGAGAACUGAGGGGGGCUGCUCCUAGUACGAGAGGACCGGAGUGGACGCAUCACUGGUGUUCGGGUUGUCAUGCCAAUGGCACUGCCCGGUAGCUAAAUGCGGAAGAGAUAAGUGCUGAAAGCAUCUAAGCACGAAACUUGCCCCGAGAUGAGUUCUCCCUGACUCCUUGAGAGUCCUGAAGGAACGUUGAAGACGACGAC